This 496-nucleotide ribosomal RNA is filed under the name uncultured bacterium. RNAcentral's name for it is "partial 16S ribosomal RNA". It matches the Rfam family "Bacterial small subunit ribosomal RNA", at positions 28 to 506 of the family's 1533-position model. The record is from RNAcentral.
GAUGAACGCUGGCGGCGUGCCUAAUACAUGCAAGUCGAGCGAACGGACGAGAAGCUUGCUUCUCUGAUGUUAGCGGCGGACGGGUGAGUAACACGUGGAUAACCUACCUAUAAGACUGGGAUAACUUCGGGAAACCGGAGCUAAUACCGGAUAAUAUUUUGAACCGCAUGGUUCAAAAGUGAAAGACGGUCUUGCUGUCACUUAUAGAUGGAUCCGCGCUGCAUUAGCUAGUUGGUAAGGUAACGGCUUACCAAGGCAACGAUGCAUAGCCGACCUGAGAGGGUGAUCGGCCACACUGGAACUGAGCCACGGCCCAGACUCCUACGGGAGGCAGCAGUAGGGAAUCUUCCGAAAUGGGCGAAAGCCUGACGGAGCAACGCAGCGUGAGUGAUGAAGGUCUGCGGAUCGUAAAACUCUGUUAUUAGGGAAGAACAUAUGUGUAAGUAACUGUGCACAUCUUGACGGUACCUAAUCAGAAAGCCACGGCUAACUACGU